UCUCCGUUGGUGAACCAGCGGAGGGAUCAUUACCGAGUUUACAACUCCCAAACCCAAUGUGAACCAUACCAAACUGUUGCCUCGGCGGGGUCACGCCCCGGGUGCGUCGCAGCCCCGGAACCAGGCGCCGGCCGGAGGGACCAACCAAACUCUUUCUGUAGUCCCCUCGCGGACGUUAUUUUUACAGCUCUGAGCAAAAAUUCAAAAUGAAUCAAAACUUUCAACAACGGAUCUCUUGGUUCUG
Molecule: unclassified non-coding RNA, 244 nt
Filed under: plant metagenome
Description: partial contains small subunit ribosomal RNA, internal transcribed spacer 1, and 5.8S ribosomal RNA
Source: RNAcentral